This 301-nucleotide ribosomal RNA is filed under the name uncultured bacterium. RNAcentral describes it as "partial 16S ribosomal RNA". It matches the Rfam family "Bacterial small subunit ribosomal RNA", at positions 509 to 807 of the family's 1533-position model. The record is from RNAcentral.
CAGUCGCCGCGGGAAUACGUAGGGGGCGAGCGUUGUCCGAAGUUACUGGGCGUAAAGAGCGCGUAGGCUGGUCUUUAAGUGAGUGGUGAAAGGUUCGGGCUCAACCCGGACACUGCCUUUCAUACUGGGGACCUUGAGUGUGGGAGAGGCGAGUGGAAUGGUCGGUGUAGCGGUGAAAUGCGUAGAUAUCGAUAGGAACACCCAUGGCGAAGGCAGCUCGCUGGCCUAACACUGACGCUGAGGCGCGAAAGCGUGGGGAGCAAACAGGAUUAGAUACCCGAGUAGUCCCUGUCUCUUAUAC